UUCCGGUUGAUCCCGCCGGACCUGACUGCUAUCGGAUUGAUACUAAGCCAUGCGAGUCAUUGUAGCAAUACAAGGCAGACGGCUCAGUAACGCGUAGUCAACCUAACCUAUGGACGGGAAUAACCUCGGGAAACUGAGAAUAAUGCCCGAUAGAACACUAUACCUGGAAUGGUUUGUGUUCCAAAUGAUUUAUCGCCGUAGGAUGGGACUGCGGCCUAUCAGUUUGUUGGUGAGGUAAUGGCCCACCAAGACUAUUACAGGUACGGGCUCUGAGAGGAGUAGCCCGGAGAUGGGUACUGAGACACGGACCCAGGCCCUAUGGGGCGCAGCAGACGAGAAAACUUUGCAAUGUGCGAAAGCACGACAAGGUUAAUCCGAGUGGUUUCUGCUAAAGGAACCUUUUGUCGGUCCUAGAAACACCGAUGAAUAAGGGGGUGGGCAAGUUCUGGUGUCAGCCGCCGCGGUAAAAACCAGCACCUCAAGUGGUCAGGAUGACUAUUGGGCCUAAAGCAUCCGUAGCCUGCUUUGUUAGUUUUCGGUUAAAUCUAUACGCUCAACGUAUAGGCUGCCGGGAAUACUGCAAAGCUAGGGAGUGGGAGAGGUAGACGGUACUCGGUAGGAAGGGGUAAAAUCCUUUGAUCUAUUGAUGACCACCUGUGGCGAAGGCGGUCUACCAGAACACGUCCGACGGUGAGGGAUGAAAGCUGGGGGAGCAAACCGGAUUAGAUACCCGGGUAGUCCCAGCCGUAAACCAUGCAAACUCAGUGAUGCAUUGGCUUGUGGCCAAUGCAGUGCUGCAGGGAAGCCGUUAAGUUUGCCGCCUGGGAAGUACGUACGCAAGUAUGAAACUUAAAGGAAUUGGCGGGGGAGCACCACAAGGGGUGAAGCCUGCGGUUCAAUUGGAGUCAACGCCGGAAAUCCCGC
This 924-nucleotide ribosomal RNA is filed under the name uncultured archaeon. Its description in RNAcentral is "bacterial SSU rRNA". It matches the Rfam family "Archaeal small subunit ribosomal RNA", at positions 1 to 930 of the family's 1478-position model. The record is from RNAcentral.